UACGAAGGGGGCUAGCGUUGUUCGGAAUUACUGGGCGUAAAGCGCACGUAGGCGGAUUUGCCAGUCAGGGGUGAAAUCCCGGGGCUCAACCUCGGAACUGCCUUUGAUACAGCAAGUCUAGAGUCCGGAAGAGGUGAGUGGAAUUCCUAGUGUAGAGGUGAAAUUCGUAGAUAUUAGGAAGAACACCAGUGGCGAAGGCGGCUCACUGGUCCGGCACUGACGCUGAGGUGCGAAAGCGUGGGGAGCAAACAGG
Molecule: unclassified non-coding RNA, 253 nt
Filed under: uncultured Alphaproteobacteria bacterium
Lineage: Bacteria; Pseudomonadati; Pseudomonadota; Alphaproteobacteria
Description: contains 16S-23S intergenic spacer region
Rfam family: Bacterial small subunit ribosomal RNA
Source: RNAcentral